RNAcentral lists this ribosomal RNA (444 nucleotides) under Pseudobaikalia contabulata. RNAcentral describes it as "partial 16S ribosomal RNA". It matches the Rfam family "Bacterial large subunit ribosomal RNA", at positions 1859 to 2571 of the family's 2925-position model. Lineage: Eukaryota; Metazoa; Mollusca; Gastropoda; Littorinimorpha; Baicaliidae. The record is from RNAcentral.
CUGCCCAGUGAUCAAUGACAUGAUUUAACGGCCGCGGUACCCUAACCGUGCAAAGGUAGCAUAAUCAUUUGCCCUAUAAUUGAGGGCUUGUAUGAAUGGUUUGACAAGAACAAUACUGUCUCUUAAAAAUUUACUAAAAUUUGGUUUUUAGGUGAAGAAACCUAAAUAAAAUUGAAAGACAAGAAGACCCUAUCGAGCUUAAAAAAUACGUUAACUAUAUAGAAAACAAACUAACGAAAAAAUUUGGUUGGGGCGACUAAGGAACAAAUAAAGCUUCCUUUAAUAUAAAAAACUUAUAUGUAUUGAUCCAAAAUAUUUGAUUAAAAAAAUUAGUUACCGUAGGGAUAACAGCAUAAUCUUUUUAGAGAGAACAUAUCGAAAAAAAGGUUUGUGACCUCGAUGUUGGACUAGGAUAUCCUAAUAGAUUGCAGAAGUCUUUAAAGG